GUGCUCACUUCAGCAGCACAUACACUAAAAUUGGAAUGAUAUACAGGAGAUUAGCAUGGCCCCUGUGCAAGGAUGACAUGCAAAUUUGUGAAGUGGUAAAAAAAAAA
This is a small nuclear RNA of Diceros bicornis minor, 107 nucleotides long. Lineage: Eukaryota; Metazoa; Chordata; Mammalia; Perissodactyla; Rhinocerotidae. The record is from RefSeq and is a predicted model, not a curated record.